GUACACUCCUGCGGGAGGCAGCAGUGGGGAAUUUUACGCAAUGGGGGAAACCCUGACGUAGCGACACCGCGUGAGCGAAGAAGCCCUUUGGGGUGUAAAGCUCUGUCAGCUGGAACGAAAACAAUGACGGUACCAGCAGAGGAAGCAUCGGCUAACUACGUGCCAGCAGCCGCGGUAAGACGUAGGAUGCGAGCGUUGUCCGGAUUUAUUAGGCGUAAAGAGUUCGUAGGUGGUUUGUUAAGUUUGGUGUUAAAGAUCGGGGCUCAACCCUGGGACUGCACUGAAUACUGGCAGACUCGAGUGUGGUAGAGGCUAGUGGAAUUCCCAGUGUAGCGGUGAAAUGCGUAGAUAUUGGGAAGAACACCGGUGGCGUAGGCGACUAGCUGGGCCAUAACUGACGCUGAGGAACGAAAGCCAGGGGAGCGAAUGGGAUUAGAAACCCUGGUAGUCCCAUG
This 455-nucleotide ribosomal RNA is filed under the name uncultured organism. Its description in RNAcentral is "partial 16S ribosomal RNA". It matches the Rfam family "Bacterial small subunit ribosomal RNA", at positions 331 to 799 of the family's 1533-position model. The record is from RNAcentral.